Ictalurus punctatus (channel catfish) is the source of this 2450-nucleotide long non-coding RNA. The record is from Ensembl. NCBI's taxonomy places the organism in Eukaryota, Metazoa, Chordata, Actinopteri, Siluriformes, Ictaluridae.
GCAGGUUUAAAAUAUACACUAUUUUUAUUUAUUUUUUUAUUUUUUAUUAGCGCAAUAUAGCCGAUUUUUGUCCCGUUAUGUUUUAAGCCAAAUAAUCUGACAAAUGUGUGUAGGCCUAAUCUGCUUUAAUCCGAUUGUAUUCACACGCCUAGUUUAGCCUACUUAGAUUCUUUCUCUUUAUUCAGUGUCAAUAAAUGUGACAUAAUUAUUAAAUCGCCCCCAAAUAAAACCCACAUAUUUAUGAAAUGCAUGCUUGUUCUAUUUGCGACAUUUCAUGCAUUAUAAAUAUAUAAUAAUAAUAAUAAUAAUAAUAAUAAUAAUAAUAAUAAUAAUAUAGGGUACAUAUAUUAGGACAAAUUUCGCAGAAGUGAGAAGGGAGAGUUACAAAAAAUAGUUUCUUUAUUUAUUUAAAUACAAAAGUGUGUACAAUAUUGUUAGGUCUUUUAAGCUAUUCACCGUUCAAAAAAAAUCUUGCUAAAUUUACAGAAUCUUAAAGUAUAAUUUAUGGCAUGAGAACAACAAAAUAAUAAAUACAAACAAAUCAAAUCCGAAGAUGUUUUGUUUAAUACACAUCUAGUGUAUUGCAAGAUGUGCAAAUCAUUUCCUUUUUUUUUUUUAUUUUUUUUUUUUAAAGUGUGUAAACCUUUAAGAAAUUAGAUUUGUGCACAUGAGCGUGUUUUAGUAGUCUGGCUUUAACAAAUUCUCUCAAAAACAUUCUACAGUGUUUCAAGCGUUUUCUGAUGCUGAAAUAUUUUCCUUCUCAGACAUUUUUACAUCAUAGCAGUUUGGACAUUUUUUCCUGCACAUCAGUAAAAGGCAAGGCGUGAAAUAACAUCAUGUACACCGUGUGAAAUGAUGAAGCUGAUGUAAACAGUAGCCUACAUUUCAGGUGAGGAUUGUGUAGUUUGUGCGGAAAGACGCAGAAGUGUGAACCAGCAGCAACAGAUGUCCAUGCACAAUUCUCGAUUUACAACUCGACAGUCACAAGAAUUGCGUUUGGACAAUCAGUAGCUCAGGCUCAUAUACACCGCAAAGACAGCACUCUUAAACCAAAAGCAUUCACAAGCACAUUUCCAUGGGUUAUUAGGAAGAUUCCUUGACACAGCAUGGAAGUAAAAACAGGCCUAUAGAGACCCUAUCUGCAAUAGGUAAUAUAGCUAGGUAAAUGGCUAUUUUUUUUGUAAAAAAAACAAAACAAAACAACAAAAAAAAACAUUAUUCUGUUCAUUCAUUAUCUAAAAAAUAAAAAAAUCCAUCUUGUAUUAUUAUUAUUAUUAUUAUUAUUAUUAUUAUUAUUAUUAUUAUUAUUCGUUUCCCAAAAUCCUGCUGAAAUAACUGAAAAUUACUUUUUUGAAAAUUUAUAUUAAAAAAUGAUAUAUAAAUAGCCUAUAGGCUAUAUUUAACACAACCUAAAAUAUUAUUUACGCACUGUAGGGUUUUGACGCAAAUCCUAAUCCAGUUCUAACUAAUUGUUUCCUGUGGAAGAAUAUAUCAUCAUAAAAUCAUAAUAAUAAUACAUUAAAAAAAAAAAAAAAAAAAAAAAAAAAAAGGAUUUUGACUCUGCAUAUGAGAUUUGGUGAUUUUUUACCAAGCGAAUUCGUUUCCGUGGAACCCAACCAUGCAUUUCGUUCUCGUCGACCCAUUUAUUCUUUACGAAAUAUGAACACGGUGGAUAAAAAGCUGAGUGGAGAUGAUUGUUAAAAUGCUAUACUGAGCAUCCCAUGUGUCGGUGCUGCAGCGUCGCGAGCCGUUAGCCGUUAGCAUCUAGCACCGGAGAGCCGUUCGCCAUUUCUGCACCUGUUAAAGAUGCUCAGUGUCUCUGUCAGCACAGCAAAGCCUGUUUCCCCGGUUCUCCAGCACGCGCCCGAAAUUCCUUGAGGCGUCGAAAUCAGAUCCUUAUCUCUAAAUCAUCUGGUGCCGUGAGACCGGGCAGAGGGGCAGAGUAGGGGGGAAAAGUUCUUCAGCGCAUUCCAGGUAAAAAAAAAAAAAAAAAAUGCGUUAGUGCUCGGUGUGUAGGCUGGAAGUGGAACAGCACAGAGUUAUCCCAGACUGAAGGAGCUCCCUUGCACGAGGCGAGCUAUAAAGCAACAGGAGAAAGCAGCGCGAGCGGAUCCGUUUCAAAGGACGCCAAAGAGACUUCCGACGUUGACGCGCGCGCGCGCACGCGAGAGAGAGAGAGAGAGAGAGAGAGGCGCUGGUGCUCGCAUGGUACGAGCUUUCAAUGACACCAUUAAAAUGGCCAUUGUCAGGAAGAAGGGCUGAAGCUGCUCUGUUUCAUUGAGAGCCGCAGCUGCCCCUUAAAGCCACAGAGCAAUUACAAUCCAGCACUGUACACUCGGUGCCAAUUACGCAUUGUGCAGCGCGGUGACGUUUGCCUCUGCUUCUGCGCCCCGUACAAAAGGAUUACCUGACACUUCCUCCACAAAGAGAGCUGUUCUUUAACAGUUUGU